AUCCAGGUGAAGAGUCUCAAACAGGACGAAAUGCGCAUCCUGGAU
This is a non-coding RNA of Schistosoma curassoni, 45 nucleotides long. The record is from Rfam. Lineage: Eukaryota; Metazoa; Platyhelminthes; Trematoda; Strigeidida; Schistosomatidae.